RNAcentral lists this long non-coding RNA (485 nucleotides) under Androctonus crassicauda. The record is from RNAcentral. Lineage: Eukaryota; Metazoa; Arthropoda; Arachnida; Scorpiones; Buthidae.
GUUGGACUGCAUAUUUCCGGGCUGUGCUUGGGGCAUCAGCCUGCCUGAUGUUGAUAACAUUGUGUCUUUGGCUGGUUCUCAAGAUUUCGGCCUUCUCCGCUGUGGGUGGGGCCUUGUGGUCAGAAAUGUUUCUCACGACUUGUGUGUCUUGCCAGGAGAUUUUGGUGUUCUUCUCAAGGGCCCUUGGGACUAGGGCGGUGUUGAGGUUGCCUUUGGAUAUGUUGUCCUUGUGUUCUGCAGUUCGGUCUCUGAAGUUUCGAGCUGUGGCUCCUGUGAGGACUUCUGGCUGAUUAUUGUCCAAGUUUUGUGGGGGAAUCCUAUGGACUCCUGACUUAGGGUCUUUGUGUCUUCUGGACUUGUCAUUCCGAAGUGGAUUGGGGACGGUGGGAGCCCUCCUGGAUGUUCGUUCUUUAUUCCUGGAUCUAGGGGUGGAUUUGGUGGCAUUACUUUUGUGUGAUCUAUAGAGUAUGGGAGGUCAAAAAGGG